UGGGGAAUAUUGCGCAAUGGGCGAAAGCCUGACGCAGCGACGCCGCGUGAGGGAUGAAGGCCUUCGGGUUGUAAACCUCUUUCAGCAGGGAAGAAGCGCAAGUGACGGUACCUGCAGAAGAAGCACCGGCUAACUACGUGCCAGCAGCCGCGGUAAUACGUAGGGUGCAAGCGUUGUCCGGAAUUAUUGGGCGUAAAGAGCUCGUAGGCGGUCUGUCGCGUCUGGUGUGAAAAUCCAGGGCUUAACCCUGGACCUGCAUCGGGUACGGGCAGACUAGAGUGCGGUAGGGGAGAUCGGAAUUCCUGGUGUAGCGGUGAAAUGCGCAGAUAUCAGGAGGAACACCGGUGGCGAAGGCGGAUCUCUGGGCCGUAACUGACGCUGAGGAGCGAAAGCAUGGGGAGCGAACAG
RNAcentral lists this ribosomal RNA (408 nucleotides) under uncultured bacterium. Its description in RNAcentral is "bacterial SSU rRNA". It matches the Rfam family "Bacterial small subunit ribosomal RNA", at positions 355 to 775 of the family's 1533-position model. The record is from RNAcentral.